Molecule: small RNA, 132 nt
Filed under: Flavobacterium noncentrifugens
Lineage: Bacteria; Pseudomonadati; Bacteroidota; Flavobacteriia; Flavobacteriales; Flavobacteriaceae
Description: Flavo-1 RNA
Rfam family: Flavo-1 RNA
Source: Rfam by way of RNAcentral
UCCUAGCCCGGAUGGAAGCGGCAUCCUUUUGCAUUUGAAAUUAAAAGGAGAACAGCUGGUGGCUGUUAGGUAUUUUGGUUAACAAAAGCAUCAUUUUAAAUGCAAAAGAUAAAGCGGACGGCCGGAAUAGCU